GUGCUUGUAGCUCAGUUGGAUAGAGCGUAAACCUCCGGAGUUUAAGGCCACAGGUUCGAUUCCUGUCAGGCACGCCA
RNAcentral lists this transfer RNA (77 nucleotides) under Desulfovibrio sp. RNAcentral describes it as "tRNA-Arg". It matches the Rfam family "tRNA". From Rfam's summary of the family: Transfer RNA (tRNA) molecules are approximately 80 nucleotides in length. RNAcentral also lists the same sequence under 2 other names. Lineage: Bacteria; Pseudomonadati; Thermodesulfobacteriota; Desulfovibrionia; Desulfovibrionales; Desulfovibrionaceae. The record is from RNAcentral.